CAGUGUGACUCGUCACACUAUCAUUAACUGAAUCCAUAGGUUAAUGAGGCGAACCGGGGGAACUGAAACAUCUAAGUACCCCGAGGAAAAGAAAUCAACCGAGAUUCCCCCAGUAGCGGCGAGCGAACGGGGAGGAGCCCAGAGCCUGAAUCAGCAUGUGUGUUAGUGGAAGCGUCUGGAAAGGCGCGCGAUACAGGGUGACAGCCCCGUACACAAAAGCGCAUGUGCUGUGAGCUCGAUGAGUAGGGCGGGACACGUGGUAUCCUGUCUGAAUAUGGGGGGACCAUCCUCCAAGGCUAAAUACUCCUGACUGACCGAUAGUGAACCAGUACCGUGAGGGAAAGGCGAAAAGAACCCCGGCGAGGGGAGUGAAAAAGAACCUGAAACCGUGUACGUACAAGCAGUGGGAGCACAGGUUUACCUGUGUGACUGCGUACCUUUUGUAUAAUGGGUCAGCGACUUAUAUUCUGUAGCAAGGUUAACCGUAUAGGGGAGCCGUAGGGAAACCGAGUCUUAACCGGGCGUUAAGUUGCAGGGUAUAGACCCGAAACCCGGUGAUCUAGCCAUGGGCAGGUUGAAGGUUGGGUAACACUAACUGGAGGACCGAACCGACUAAUGUUGAAAAAUUAGCGGAUGACCUGUGGCUGGGGGUGAAAGGCCAAUCAAACCGGGAGAUAGCUGGUUCUCCCCGAAAGCUAUUUAGGUAGCGCCUCGUGAAUUCAUCUCCGGGGGUAGAGCACUGUUUCGGCUAGGGGGCCAUCCCGGCUUACCAACCCGAUGCAAACUGCGAAUACCGGAGAAUGUUAUCACGGGAGACACACGGCGGGUGCUAACGUCCGUCGUGAAGAGGGAAACAACCCAGACCGCCAGCUAAGGUCCCAAAGUCAUGGUUAAGUGGGAAACGAUGUGGGAAGGCCCAGACAGCCAGGAUGUUGGCUUAGAAGCAGCCAUCAUUUAAAGAAAGCGUAAUAGCUCACUGGUCGAGUCGGCCUGCGCGGAAGAUGUAACGGGGCUAAACCAU
Molecule: ribosomal RNA, 1021 nt
Filed under: Salmonella enterica
Lineage: Bacteria; Pseudomonadati; Pseudomonadota; Gammaproteobacteria; Enterobacterales; Enterobacteriaceae
Also listed under: 2 other names
Description: bacterial LSU rRNA
Rfam family: Bacterial large subunit ribosomal RNA
Source: RNAcentral